CCUACGGGCGGCUGCAGUGAGGAAUAUUGGUCAAUGGCCGUAAGGCUGAACCAGCCAAGUCGCGUGAAGGAAGAAGGACCUAUGGUUUGUAAACUUCUUUUAUAGGGGAAUAAAGGUAUCCACGUGUGGCUUUUUGCAUGUACCUCAUGAAUAAGCAUCGGCUAACUCCGUGCCAUCAGCCGCGGUAAUACGGAGGAUGCGAGCGUUAUCCGGAUUUAUUGGGUUUAAAGGGUGCGUAGGUUGUUUUUUAAGUCAGCGGUUAAAUUUUGUGGCUCAACCGUAAAAUUGCCGUUGAAACUGGAAGACUUGAGUGUGUUUGAGGUAGGCGGAAUGCGUGGUGUAGCGGUGAAAUGCAUAGAUAUCACGCAGAACUCCGAUUGCGAAGGCAGCUUAC
This 394-nucleotide ribosomal RNA is filed under the name uncultured bacterium. Its description in RNAcentral is "partial 16S ribosomal RNA". It matches the Rfam family "Bacterial small subunit ribosomal RNA", at positions 338 to 729 of the family's 1533-position model. The record is from RNAcentral.